UUAAUAAUUUAUAUAAAAUAUUUUGAUGAAUAUUUAUAUAAUAUUAACAUAAUUCAUAUUACUAUAUAUUUUAGUAUAUGAAAUUUUACUUUGAGAAAAUUAGAGUGCUUAAAGCAGGCAUAUGCCUUGAAUACUCCAGCAUGGAAUAAUAUUAAAGAUUUUUAUCUUUCUUAUUGGUUCUAAGAUAAGAAUAAUGAUUAAUAGGGACAGUUGGGGGCAUUUGUAUUUAACAGUCAGAGGUGAAAUUCUUAGAUUUGUUAAAGACAAACUAAUGCGAAAGCAUUUGCCAAGGAUGUUUUCAUUAAUCAAGAACGAAAGUUAGGGGAUCGAAGACGAUCAGAUACCGUCGUAGUCUUAACCAUAAACUAUGCCAACUAG
Molecule: ribosomal RNA, 378 nt
Filed under: Cryptosporidium parvum
Lineage: Eukaryota; Apicomplexa; Conoidasida; Eucoccidiorida; Cryptosporidiidae
Description: SSU rRNA
Rfam family: Eukaryotic small subunit ribosomal RNA
Source: RNAcentral